GCCCCCUUUGUGGUCGGUGUACAGGUGGUGCAUGGUUGUCGUCAGCUCGUGUCGUGAGAUGUUGGGUUAAGUCCCGCAACGAGCGCAACCCUCGUCCUAUGCUGCCAGCGGGUCAUGCCGGGGACUCAUGGGAGACUGCCGGGGUCAACUCGGAGGAAGUGGGAUGACGUCAAAUCAUCAUGCCCCUUAUGUCUUGGGCUUCACGCAUGCUACAAUGGCCGGUACAAAGGGCUGCGAUACCGCGAGGUGGAGCGAAUCCCAGAAAGCCGGUCUCAGUUCGGAUUGGGGUCUGCAACUCGACCCCAUGAAGUCGGAGUCGCUAGUAAUCGCAGAUCAGCAACGCUGCGGUGAAUACGUUCCCGGGCCUU
This 368-nucleotide ribosomal RNA is filed under the name uncultured Cellulomonas sp. Its description in RNAcentral is "bacterial SSU rRNA". It matches the Rfam family "Bacterial small subunit ribosomal RNA", at positions 1014 to 1382 of the family's 1533-position model. Lineage: Bacteria; Bacillati; Actinomycetota; Actinomycetes; Micrococcales; Cellulomonadaceae. The record is from RNAcentral.